Molecule: ribosomal RNA, 194 nt
Filed under: bacterium rN3
Lineage: Bacteria
Description: partial 16S rRNA
Rfam family: Bacterial small subunit ribosomal RNA
Source: RNAcentral
CCUACGGGAGGCAGCAGUGGGGAAUUUUGGACAAUGGGCGCAAGCCUGAUCCAGCAAUGCCGCGUGCAGGAUGAAGGCCUUCGGGUUGUAAACUGCUUUUGUACGGAACGAAAAGGCUCUCUCUAAUACAGAGAGCCGAUGACGGUACCGUAAGAAUAAGCACCGGCUAACUACGUGCCAGCAGCCGCGGUAAU